Molecule: ribosomal RNA, 450 nt
Filed under: uncultured Streptococcaceae bacterium
Lineage: Bacteria; Bacillati; Bacillota; Bacilli; Lactobacillales; Streptococcaceae
Description: bacterial SSU rRNA
Rfam family: Bacterial small subunit ribosomal RNA
Source: RNAcentral
GUGGGGAAUCUUCGGCAAUGGGGGGAACCCUGACCGAGCAACGCCGCGUGAGUGAAGAAGGUUUUCGGAUCGUAAAGCUCUGUUGUAAGAGAAGAACGAGUGUGAGAGUGGAAAGUUCACACUGUGACGGUAUCUUACCAGAAAGGGACGGCUAACUACGUGCCAGCAGCCGCGGUAAUACGUAGGUCCCGAGCGUUAUCCGGAUUUAUUGGGCGUAAAGCGAGCGCAGGCGGUUAGAUAAGUCUGAAGUUAAAGGCUGUGGCUUAACCAUAGUACGCUUUGGAAACUGUUUAACUUGAGUGCAAGAGGGGAGAGUGGAAUUCCAUGUGUAGCGGUGAAAUGCGUAGAUAUAUGGAGGAACACCGGUGGCGAAAGCGGCUCUCUGGCUUGUAACUGACGCUGAGGCUCGAAAGCGUGGGGAGCAAACAGGAUUAGAUACCCUAGUAGUCC